This is a long non-coding RNA of Octopus bimaculoides (California two-spot octopus), 1636 nucleotides long. The record is from RefSeq and is a predicted model, not a curated record. NCBI's taxonomy places the organism in Eukaryota, Metazoa, Mollusca, Cephalopoda, Octopoda, Octopodidae.
UCGACUGGUGUUGGGGUGAGGUAGGGAGGAGGUGAUGCUAGUUAACCAAGUUUAAUACUAUUAGCAAGUUGUGUCAGAAUUCAAGGUGAUCUAAUUACUGUGAUUACAUCUGUUCUGCCACCAAUGUUUAGAAAGUCAUUAAACGUCAGCCGUGGUGGACGAUUCCUUAAAUGCAAAGACUUCUUGGCUCACCAAACAUCUUGCAGGAAAAAAAACAAACAAAAAAAACUACUACUACUACUACUACUACCUACUACUACUCUAAAAGUUCACCGCAAUAAUAAUAGUAAUAAUAAUAGUAAUGAUGAUGGUGUGAUGGUGAUGAUGAUGAUGAUGAUGAUGAUGAUGAAGGCAUUAUCUAUCAGUUUUCAAACCAAACCCUGUUAUUGUCUUAUAUUGCUAAUGUUACAGGAUUUUUCGAAAACUUUCAACUGGUUGAUUGAUGGAGGCGGAGUGGGGGACGAGAUGGUUUGGACAGAAUUUGAUGCGGAUGCUCUUCCUGUCACCAACUUCACAUUUGCAAUGAAGAAGAGAAAAAAACAAAAACAGAAGACGAAAAUGAAGAAAUAGAAAGGAAAAAAAAAAAAAGAGGAGACAAUAAGACAGAAGAGGAAAGAAGAAAAGAGAAGAGAAAAGUAAAAACUACGGCACAGACAAUCAAAGCCAUCUUCUGGCAAAAUGGCUGAGAUAAUCAGGGGUAACGAAGAAGGAGAGAAGGAAAGGAGUACUCAUUGGAAAUCAGAUUUCAGAGAAAAUGGUUUUCAUUUCCAAACAGCAUUCAUUUGGAAACUAAAAGUCGAUACAACAGACAUGAACGACAUCUAUGGAAUCGUGCUUAAUCCUUGGUUAGUUGUUGCAAAGAAUUUAAUUUAAUGGAUUUCAAAUUACUCUUUGGUUUUGAGAAAGAGAGAAGAACGAGAAAGAAGACAUUCAGCAGUGAAGAGAAUAAAUAAAAUAAAUAAAUAAAUACACCAAAGAAUCAAUAAUAAAAGAAUCUUACUAAUUUAUAACAGUGUGUUAUUUGUUGGGGAGGGAAAAAAAUACCAAAGUAAGAAAAUAAUGUUGUAAUUGGAACUUCAAGCAUUAUCCACACAGUAUUAUCAGUGACACAGUAUUGCUGACACAGCAUUGUCAAUAAUGUAGACUUGCUGACACAGCAUUAUUAACACAGCCUUGUCAAUAACAUUAUAGACGUAACAUUGUCAACGCUAUGAUCUUACUGGCAGAGCAUUAUUCACAGCAUUAUCAACACAGACUUACCCAGAGGCAGUAUAUACAAUACUGAAGAAGUAUGCACUCAAACUUAUCGAUACAACAUUAUCUUAGAGUAGGACUUGAAUUAUAUACCACAGAACCUCCCCAAACUAGACACCAAUAUUUAAGCAUUCUCUAAACCUAAUUAGAGAACCUAAGAAGAAAACCAAACAAUACCAAAGAAAGUGAUCCCCCACAAACUAUGAAUUAACAAACACUUUGCUUUUUACAAGAAUGAAAGAUAACCUAGAAUAAAAAGACUAAGAUAUGAGAAAUUCACAAUCAAGCAUAACAUAUAUGCAUUCUCAUCAUCAGCUGCCAAACAUAUCACUAUAGUUUUGACACAAUUUUGAAGCAAAUAAACAGCAUUAUUGACACAGUG